AACCUGGGCUGUGGCUCUCUGUAGUUUGUGGUGCUGUGAUGGUGUCUACUGGUAGAAUAGCUUUUCUGGAGGUGGGUGGCAACUCCAUGCAGGAGUCAUUGGCUGGGCUUGAGCCCUCAGCCUGUGAUAUGUGGAUGCAGCUGUCCAGCCACUGCCCUUUAAACUGCCCAGCACACAUGGGAGGCCUGUGGCCCAGUGUCCACCAUAUGCUUGUCCUUCCUGCCUGAAAUUGCUGCUGCCCAUCACAUGAGCCCACACAGUAGCACCCCCAUCCUUGGGAUGAGAGUCAGAGCCUUUGGAAAGUCUGCAUCCCCAGGGCUAGAGCGCAGAUGACCUUAUUUCUAGAGGGACAGGCUGUUCUCUUGGAGGAGUCUCUGGCCCAGUCAUGCACAUCUGUAGCCCAGCCAUCCUCGUGCCUUCACCUCUGAUGUGUUUCACGAGCACGUAGUUCAACCCAGAUGGGACCACAGAGAUUCUGGGGCCGGCCAGGGGCGGCCACAUUAGCACCUACUGGCUCUGACUUUUUGUAUGAAGCAGGCCUCAGUUUGCUCAUUUUGAUCUAGUGACAAAAUUAAAAUUGUCCAUUUCCUAUAUAGAUACCAGCAAGACCACUCUGGGAUACAUGAACUCGCAUUUCCUUCUGUUUUAGUAAGGAAUGCCAGACUCAUCUUUGCUGGGAAUACAGUAUUAACCCUGCUCGAUGUAAAAUGUAAAUAGCACACGGGCCCCUGGGUUUGCACUUUGGUCUUGCCAUCACCCCCCAGUAACACCCGGGGAGUUCUGCGUUGAGUGGAUGGACUUACUCCUAUGAAGCGGCAUAAUUUGUCUCAAUUGAAAAAUGGCAUUCACUCUUACAGACGGUGGUCACUGCAAAGCCCCGGAAGCACAUGGCAUGUGUUCACUAAGAGGCCUUGAAUCCUGGGGAGUAAGGGGCGAAGGCCCUUAAACAACCACGGCUGCUGUACUGCCGCCCAGGUGGGGUGGCCAGAGAGGACUGGCCAUAGCCCAGUGAACCUGUGGCUUAUCUGAGGCCCUUGAGUAACUGACCACAUUUGGAGCUUUUGCUGGACAUGCCUGAUCUCUUGGUCUGGCUCUGCUGUGUAGUCCAUAGCCCAGCCAGAUGAGUUUGCACCCUCACAGGAGGCCAGCACCUUGCAAAGAUGCAGUCACCAUAGAUAUCCACAUAGCAGAGACUGAUUAGGAUCUGAGAUGAAGCACUGGAUUGCAGGAAUAACUGUCCAAAUUAGUUCUUCCUCCUCAACUCACAGGAGUAGCUGUGGACAGAGGAACCAACAUCUGCCACCUCUGGCCUUUUUCUUUCUUUUUUUCUUUUCUUUUCUUUUCUUUUUUUUUUUUUAGAUGGAGUUUUGCUCUUAUCCCCCAGGCUGGAGUACAAUGGCACUAUCUCGGCUCACUGCAACCUCCACCUCCCAGGUUCAAGCGAUUCUGCCUCAGCCUCCUGAGUAGAUGGGAUUACAGGUGCCUGCCACCUCACCCAGCUAAUUUUUGUAUUUUCAGUAAAGACGUCGUUUCACCAUGUUGGCCAGGCUAGUCUCAAACUCCUGACCUCAAGUGAUCUGCCCACCUCGGCCUCCCAAAGUGCUGAGAUUACAGACCUGAGCCACCGCACCUGGCCUAUUUUCUUAAAGGGGAACAAAUGAUCUUGACGACAUAUUAUUCCAUAACACCAGUUUAGGACGCAUGCCAGUUCCUGAUUAGAACACAGGGCCCAUGGAAGGGACUAUCAGAGGUGCAAAAAUUACUUCAAGAUGAGUUUGUUGUUUUCAUUUAAUAUUGCAGAAGUUAGAAGUCAUUUUACAAAUUUAGAAGAGAAAAUUUUUUCUUGGUAGUGUUUAAAAAUUAGGGGAUUGAAAGGAUCCAGGAUGGGCUUUGUGUGUGUGUCUCCGAUUCUCAUUUAUUAGUGAGCACACCUGUGUAUAUAUAUAAUUCACAAGGAGAUCAUCAAGGGAAAACAUUUUGCAUGUGUAAAGCUUCAUGAAGUUCUCUUUAAAAAAUACCAAAGCUUGUUUAUUUCUGAUAAUUAACCUAAGCCCUUAUGAAAAUAAACAAAAUGAAGGGAUUAUGACCGGCAUUACCAAAAACACCAAAAGGAACAAAGGGGCCUGCAUUAAAAUCUAUUUGCUAAUGCUUCACAACUAGGAGAGCAUGCCGUCUUGAUGUUUGAAAAACCCAGGGUCUUCGCCCUUCCUUUGAUUUGUGCAAUUCUGUCUUCCACAAUUCCGGAGCCUUCAGUGAGGGGUAGCUACAUGCCCCAUGCCUGCCCUUUCUUUCCUUCCUUGCUCACUUUACUAUGGGUGUAUUUUAAUCUUGUGUAAAAAUAUGCAUGAAUGAGUCAUGCACAUGUAUACGUUAUGUAUUUGACAAGUGGUGGUAAAACAAAAUCAAAACAGAUUUGGUUUGUGUUUUUGAAAUGUCAGUUCAUUUUGUGCCACUAACACUGUGAUGUAUAAAAGAGCUGUUUGAAUGCCUUUUAAUGUUGUGUUUUGUACUCUGGAAUUAUAUGGAAAAAGUUUGAUUUGUAAUUUCAAUACAUAUUUUAAAUGUAUUGUGUCUUACGUAGUUUGUCCCCCCAUCCCCCUUUAGCAGGGAUUCCUUUUUAAAGCUAUUUUGGCUGGAAUACAGGUGAUUUUUGUAAA
Molecule: long non-coding RNA, 2657 nt
Filed under: Macaca fascicularis (crab-eating macaque)
Lineage: Eukaryota; Metazoa; Chordata; Mammalia; Primates; Cercopithecidae
Description: lncRNA (ENSMFAG00000063823.1)
Source: RNAcentral